GAUGAACGCUGGCGGUAUGCUUAACACAUGCAAGUCGAACGGUCACUUCGGUGAUAGUGGCGGACGGGUGAGUAACGCGUGAGAAUCUGUCUUCAGGUCGGGGACAACAGUUAGAAAUGACUGCUAAUACCGGAUGUGCCUUUGGGUGAAAGAUUUAUUGCCUGAAAAAGAGCUCGCGUCAGAUUAGCUAGUAGGUGGUGUAAGAGACUACCUAGGCUCCGAUCUGUAGCUGGUCUGAGAGGACGAUCAGCCACACUGGAACUGAGACACGGUCCAGACUACUACGGGAGGCAGCAGUGGGGAAUUUUCCGCAAUGGGCGAAAGCCUGACGGAGCAAUACCGCGUGAGGGACGAAGGCUUUUGGGUCGUAAACCUCUUUUCUCAAGGAAGAUGAUGACGGUACUUGAGGAAUAAGCAUCGGCUAACUCUGUG
Molecule: ribosomal RNA, 432 nt
Filed under: uncultured bacterium
Lineage: Bacteria
Description: partial 16S ribosomal RNA
Rfam family: Bacterial small subunit ribosomal RNA
Source: RNAcentral